Saimiri boliviensis boliviensis (Bolivian squirrel monkey) is the source of this 691-nucleotide long non-coding RNA. RefSeq lists it as uncharacterized. NCBI's taxonomy places the organism in Eukaryota, Metazoa, Chordata, Mammalia, Primates, Cebidae. The record is from RefSeq and is a predicted model, not a curated record.
UCUGCGGCGUGUGUUGGAAACAAGGGAGAGGAAGAAGCCCUUGGGGACGACAGGCGCCACCGACGGCGGGUCGCCAGGCUGGGGCUAGAACGGCGCCAGGGCGGACCAGAGGAACGGCCGCAAGAGCUAGGGGGCCCCGGGGGAGGUGCUGUGGAGGUGGCGGGACCUGUGGGAUCGACGUCGUCCAGGAGCCGCCCAGCCGCGGGAGCGGGGCUCCGGAGGAGGGUGUGCGCUCCGACCCGGGCGAGGCUUCCCCUCGCUCCCUCAUCUCUUCUAACCUCCACCUGGGCUCGGAGUCAUGCUCUGACCGCGGGCGCUGCCCAGGGAGACCGAGUUCCUUGAGAGCGACUCCUGGGCGCCGGGGGAAGACAGGGCUGGAAGAGACGGCAGCCCGUUAAAAAGAAGAGCUGGGAUACCAGCAAAAAGGACCCAAAAGACUAUUUUACCACAUUUGAAGAGGUCGUUGGCCAUCCCCCCAAAAUGAAUCCCAACACUGGAAGACCAAGAGGUGCAGCUCCUACAGAGAAGAUCCUAAAUCAGAAGGAGCACAGGUGGGUGGCCAUAGCAUGGACCCCCAAAAAGCCACUGUCAUGAAGAAAUAUCCUGUGCAGAAAAGUUUACAGGGCAUCUGAACCCCCGAAGCCACUGAGGAGAAGGUAAGGAAAUACUUUGGUGAGUUUGGGAGGUGAGU